This 420-nucleotide ribosomal RNA is filed under the name uncultured bacterium. RNAcentral's name for it is "bacterial SSU rRNA". It matches the Rfam family "Bacterial small subunit ribosomal RNA", at positions 123 to 541 of the family's 1533-position model. The record is from RNAcentral.
AACCUACCUUUUACAGGGGAAUAGCCCAGAGAAAUUUGGAUUAAUACCCCAUAUUAUCUUUUAUUCGCAUGAAUUAGAGAUGAAAGUUUCGACGGUAAAAGAUGGGCAUGCGUCCUAUUAGUUUGUUGGUAAGGUAAUGGCUUACCAAGACUUCGAUAGGUAGGGGCCCUGAGAGGGGGACCCCCCACACUGGUACUGAGACACGGACCAGACUCCUACGGGAGGCAGCAGUGAGGAAUAUUGGACAAUGGAGGAAACUCUGAUCCAGCCAUGCCGCGUGCAGGAUGAAUGCCCUAUGGGUUGUAAACUGCUUUUAUACAGGAAGAAACAUUUCCACGUGUGGAAACUUGACGGUACUGUAAGAAUAAGGAUCGGCUAACUCCGUGCCAGCAGCCGCGGUAAUACGGAGGAUCCAAGCGU